This 139-nucleotide ribosomal RNA is filed under the name uncultured bacterium. Its description in RNAcentral is "partial 16S ribosomal RNA". It matches the Rfam family "Bacterial small subunit ribosomal RNA", at positions 355 to 509 of the family's 1533-position model. The record is from RNAcentral.
UAGGGAAUAUUGCUCAAUGGGGGGAAAACCCUGAAGCAGCAACGCCGCGUGGAGGAUGAAGGUUUUCGGAUUGUAAACUCCUUUUGUUAGAGAAGAUAAUGACGGUAUCUAACGAAUAAGCACCGGCUAACUCCGUGCC